GACGAACGCUGGCGGCGUGCCUAAUACAUGCCAGUUGAGCGCUGAAGGUUGGUACUUGUACCAACUGGAUGAGCAGCGAACGGGUGAGUAACGCGUGGGGAAUCUGCCUUUGAGCGGGGGACAACAUUUGGAAACGAAUGCUAAUACCGCAUAAAAACUUUAAACACAAGUUUUAAGUUUGAAAGAUGCAAUUGCAUCACUCAAAGAUGAUCCCGCGUUGUAUUAGCUAGUUGGUGAGGUAAAGGCUCACCAAGGCGAUGAUACAUAGCCGACCUGAGAGGGUGAUCGGCCACAUUGGGACUGAGACACGGCCCAAACUCCUACGGGAGGCAGCAGUAGGGAAUCUUCGGCAAUGGACGAAAGUCUGACCGAGCAACGCCGCGUGAGUGAAGAAGGUUUUCGGAUCGUAAAACUCUGUCGGUAGAGAAGAACGUUGGUGAGAGUGGAAAGCUCAUCAAGUGACGGUAACUACCCAGAAAGGGACGGCUAACUACGUG
This 497-nucleotide ribosomal RNA is filed under the name uncultured bacterium. RNAcentral's name for it is "partial 16S ribosomal RNA". It matches the Rfam family "Bacterial small subunit ribosomal RNA", at positions 28 to 507 of the family's 1533-position model. The record is from RNAcentral.